Molecule: unclassified non-coding RNA, 379 nt
Filed under: Ageratum houstonianum (bluemink)
Lineage: Eukaryota; Viridiplantae; Streptophyta; Magnoliopsida; Asterales; Asteraceae
Description: partial contains external transcribed spacer and 18S ribosomal RNA
Source: RNAcentral
AACAACUUCCACCUUACAUUCCUGUUCAUUCGUCCGGUAAGGCAAGUUGCCUAAACAACAUGUGGGUUUCUUGUGUUGGAUACCUUGCGUAGGUAUUGAUCUCGCUUAUCCAGUUUCUUUUCAUCUGUUGUCGUGUUUAUGACAUUUGAUGAAACCGAAAACGUGUCUCUCUGAACCACAUCAUUAAUUCUUGUGUUGAUGUAGUGGAGCUUUGAGCCUUGCUUGGUAUCUUAUUGAUGUAGUACCUGAUGUGGGCAUGGGUCUCAUGGGAUCCUUGUUUUGUCCUGGUUUGGUGUUUACGCUUUGUGAAAUGACUGCUUGAUGCACGUUGUCUAGUACAGCUUGUGUCAGGCUUUGUCUAUGAGGAAUGUUACCUGGU